This 210-nucleotide non-coding RNA is filed under the name Clostridium sp. RNAcentral also lists the same sequence under 1 other name. The record is from RNAcentral. Lineage: Bacteria; Bacillati; Bacillota; Clostridia; Eubacteriales; Clostridiaceae.
AAAAGUGAAUACAGCUCAAGUGCCUGAAUUCAGCCUUUUUACGGUGAAUUCGGGAGAAUAGACAAUCGGGUCAAAGUCCCGAACGGUACCGCCGCUGUUGGUGCGUAGGCAAUGUUUUAUUGAUGCAAAUCAGCCAUUGGGAAACUGAGAAGGCAAAACAUUCGCUGUUGAGGCACAAGUCAGAAGACCUGCUUGAGUCGGAUCCUCCUU